AGCGAACGCUGGCGGUAGGCCUAACACAUGCAAGUCGAACGGCAGCACCGUAAGAGCUUGCUCUUACGGGCGGCGCGUGGCGGACGGGUGCGGUAUACAUCGGAAUCUACUUUUUCGUGGGGGAUAACGUAGGGAAACGUACGCUAAUACCGCAUACGACCUCCGGGUGUAAGCCGGCGAUCUUCGGACCUUGCGCGAUUGUAUGAGCCGAUGUUGGAUUAGCUAGAUGGCGGGGGAAAGGCGUAGCAAGGCUACGAUCCGUAGCGGCUAUGAGGGGAUGGAUAGCCACAUGGGAAGUGAGGAUCGUCCGAGACUCUGACGGGAAGCAGCGGUGGGGAAUAUUGGGCAAGGGAGGCAAGCCGGAUCCAGCCAUACCGCGUAGGCGAAGAAGGCCUUCGGCUUGUAGAGCCCUUUUGUUGUGAGAGAAAAGCAGCAGUUUAAUACCCCACGAUACUGACGGUACCCAAAGAAUAAGCACCGGCUAACUUCGUG
RNAcentral lists this ribosomal RNA (492 nucleotides) under uncultured bacterium. RNAcentral describes it as "partial 16S ribosomal RNA". It matches the Rfam family "Bacterial small subunit ribosomal RNA", at positions 29 to 507 of the family's 1533-position model. The record is from RNAcentral.